CAGUGAUAAUGUUUGCCCCGAUGUCUGUUGUCGUGUAAACCAUGCUGUCUUCUCGCAGUGACCAUGAUGCCAGCGCAUCUUUCAGUCCUUGUGCAAUGAUAUCGCCAGUGUGAUCUUCUGGGAAGUAGGAUAUUUGCGAACAGAAGCUUUGCAGUUGCCGGUGUUCGUCAAUGAAAUGCACCGUCAGGGAGAGGGAGAUGAUGCACCUUAAACCCCAGAUAUCAGUCCCCCAGCCGAGACAUGCUCUCAAAUACCCUCAUACCUGCAUGGUAUGCAGUUGAAAAAGAAAAUGUCAAGAAAGAGUUGCAAGAUGUGAGGGAUGUGGCUGUGACUGCUGAUGGCUGGACCAGCAUUGCACAGGACCACUACCUGACAGUGUCAGUUCACUAUGUGAGAGAGGAUUCCAUGAAAGAGAAGGUCCUACAUACAAGGUCGGUAUACACAUCCCAGACAGGGGACAUUGUAGCAGAAGAGAGAGGAGAUAUUCUUGAUGAAUUCAAUAUAAAGGACAGAGUAGUUGCUGUGACAGUGGACAAUGCAGCAAACAUGGAUGUAGCAGUAAAAAAGAUGAGUAUUAAAAAAAAUUUGCUGCUUUGCUCACUCUCUCAUUAUUGCUGCUCAGAAGCUUUACACAAUUACCUCAGUCUCACAGUGGGCAGGAAGGAUCCGAGCAAUGGUGGUGUGGCUAAAAAGAUCCAGCCUGGCUAAACCUGUCCUUAGAGAGAAGCAGCGUCUUCUCGGUAGGUAGAAAUCAGAGUAGAUGAACCUUAGUGCAAAACUCUUUGGCCAAAUAGUUAAUAAAAAUCCUUUGCUAAAUCAUGCAGUAAAACAUUUCUGCAAAUAAAUAGCCACUUUGUGUGUGUGUGUGUGUGUGUGUGUGUGUGUGUGUGUGUGUGUGUGUGUGUGUGUGUGUGUGUGUGUGUGUGUGUGUGUGUGUGUGUGUGUGUGUGGUUAUCAAACAUGAAUUUCUCUUUCUCACUUUAGGUCUUCCAGAACAUGCGGUCAUCCUUGAUGUGAAAACAAGGUGGAAUAGCUUAUUCCUCAUGGUGGAGCGAUUCCUGGAGCAGUUCCCUGCCAUCCAGGCCACCUCCAGUUCUUAUUCUAAAUGCCAUUUUCAGUGUGAAGGAUUUUGCUCAUGAAUGUGAUUAUAUUUUACAGACUGCAGAGAGUUUCUGAUGAGGAUUUUAGAAAAGCAGAAGAGUUUGUCAAAGUUACAAAGAUACUUUACACUUCAACCCUCUGCGUCUCUGCUGAAAGGAGCCCAACUUUGGGUCAGAUUCUUAACUAAACUCCAGCACCACUUCACAGUGAAUAAAGAGGACUCCUCCUUCACAAAGACCAUCAAGGACACUAUCUGGAAUGACCUCUCAAAAAGAUACCAGGAUGGCAAUAUCAGACAGUUUUUGGAGGAGGGCACAGCCUUAGAUCCCAGAUUCAAGUUAAAAGUGACAAAUGAAGUGUGGACCACACUGGAGGAGGAGCUAAUGAAAAGGACCUCAGAACAGACUCCGACUGAGCAGAUAGAACAGGUACUUGAAGAGAGAGCAGGUAACCAAGAUGACAGCUCUGAUGAAGACAGUGCAUCUGCAACAGCACUGAAGAGGCCAAAGCUUUCUGCCCUUGAGGAGCUGUGGAGGACAUGGCUGUUGAAGCAAGAAUGCAGACCACUGUCAGUAGCACUACAGAGAGGAUGCAGGCAGAGAUAAAUAAGUACAGACUGCUUCCAUCUACACUGUCCUCAGCAAGUCCAGUAACCUGGUGGUGGGACAUGAAGGAUACUCUGCCAAUGCUUUCAGAAUUGGCAUCAAGGUAUCUUUGCGUGCAAGCAUCAUCCACACCCUCAGAGCGUACAUUUUCCACUGCUGGGGACAUUAUCAGCCAGGAGCGGGCUUGUCUGUCUCCUGAAAAAGCAGACAUGCUAAUUUUUCUGAAGAAGAACUGUUGAGUGAUUUCAGGUGAUCUUAAAAGGUUAGUUCACCAAAAAAUGAAAAUUCUGUCACUAAUUACUCACCCUAAUGUUGUUCCAAACCCAUAAGACCUUUGUUUAUCUUCAGAACACAAAUGACGAUAAUUUUGGAUUUAAUCCAAGAGCUUUCUGAUCCUCCCAUAGAUUUACUGGAUAUGCAGUUUUCAAUGCCCAGAAAGGAACCAAAAACAUAGUCAAAAUAAGUCCAUGUGAUACUUCUGUGCGCAGGGUAAACAAAAAUAACUUUAUUCAACGAUUUAUCUAUGGCAGGAUCAGAAAGCUUUUGGAUUAAAUUCAAAAUAUCUUCAUUUGUAGAUAAUUAAUGACAAUUCAAAUUUUUGGGUGAACUAAACCUUUAAGCAGCAGUGAGCCUCACAAACCCUUAAAAUUGAUUGACUUAAAAUGGCUUGAACUUUAUUAAAACGGUUUGCACUGAUAUAUUGUGCUAGCUACACUUUGUUCAUUUUGUGCUUUUGUUCCUUUGUUUAUUGGUCUUACAGAUAAGCCUGCUGUGAAAAGUGUCACAAACAUCCUGAAAAAAUAAAACCAAAGUUUCUCUGAGAUUACGUGUUAUGUAAUCUUGUUAAAACAUAUUUCUUAAAAUAAAAGUAUCGAAAAAAGUAUUGUUCGGAACCGGUAUUGAAUUCAGGGUAUCGGUAUAGAAAAUUUUGGAAUGAUACCCAGCCCUACUACUAACAGUACUCACUUUCUCUGCUGGCUUUUUUCAGAUUGCAUUCAAAAAUCCAUUCAGGGAAUGCUUUGGCCACCAGAUCUGGGAUUUUGGAGUCUAUCCUGGAGUCUACAGGCAGGGAACAACCCAGGAUGCAGCUCCCAAAUCCCCUUUUUGCUAAAUUCAACUUCCAACACUAAGGGUGCCUUGUCAACAGCAGGUGUUACGGGAGAGCAAUGGGAGAAAGACAGUUGCCUUAUCAGGCUGGAGGAACACAAGCCACUCUGUUCAGACAUGGAACGGGAAGCAACAGAUGAUUAUAAUAAAGUCUACUGUCUUAUACUUGAGAGACUCUCUCAUCCCUGCUCUCCAAACUAAGUAAAAUCAUGGAUUUGAUCAGCUGGUCUCUCAACGCAAUUGACACCAUCUUCUCGACGAGAAGCCUAGGUUCGGGGGAACCUGACUGUCCUGCAGGAACUUAUGCAGCUGGCUACACAAUGGACGGAUGGGGGAAGUGGAGGGUCAUGUGCCUGGCAGCUCUUUCCUUGGAGGACAUUGAAGACAUCUACCUAUUCGGAACCAUGAUUACAGGUAUUAUGCUGAUUGGAUUAGGCAUUGCCCUGGUUUAUCGAAGAUUGAAGAAAACGGUGACAGCCGCUCAAAACCCCACUAGGCUGGCCGGAAUGAUUGAUGGAGUGGGCAGAGCUGUUAGCACUCAGACUGUGACAAUUGAUCGCAAACUGGAUAACAUCACUGUGACUAUGGAUCGCAAAUUGGAUAACAUCAUGGAGAAGCUCACGGCUUUGCAAAAAUUAUUGGAUGGCGGAGACCAGCGUGGACAUUAAGGGAGUUGGAGAUUACAGCUUCUCGCCCGGAAACCCAAACAACCCUAUUCUAUCAGGUUUUGGCUCCCCCUAAUCAGCAGCGGUCUUGGCCGACUAACUAACAACUCCCCCAGAAGAACAAGGCAGUGAGACUCUCUUGCAUUCCUCUCCCCCAAUCCCAAGGACUGACCGCACCCUCCCCCCAUCCCACGCCUUCGCUGCUUCAUACCCCCAGUGUGAACAGGCGGGUCUGUGACCAGCGCCCUUGUGGCUGCAGGACCGGAUGGCUGUUUGUCUGUGCUGGACUAACUCCUCCUCCCCAUUACCUUCACCUGUUGCAAGUUGUGUCAUUUUAUGUUGUAAGGUGUAGUGACCAUGUGCUUAUGUUGCUGAGGUGUUUUUUUUCGGUUCCUACAAUGUCCUCCCCACUGGAGUACAGUCUGGGGGCAGUUUUUUUAUUCUUCUCUCUCCUCAUGUUAUUCUGUUUCUUUUCUUCUCUCUGUUUGCCCCUGUCUCCCGACCUGUCUACCCCCUACUGUGAUAUAUGGUCGGGUUGAUGGCCAGUUUUUUCGCUGGUACUUGUGACUAGUGACAUGGUGUAUUGCAACAGCA
This is a long non-coding RNA of Brienomyrus brachyistius, 4072 nucleotides long. RefSeq lists it as uncharacterized. The record is from RefSeq and is a predicted model, not a curated record. The transcript is spliced from 7 exons. Lineage: Eukaryota; Metazoa; Chordata; Actinopteri; Osteoglossiformes; Mormyridae.